GACGAACGCUGGCGGCGUGCUUAACACAUGCAAGUCGAACGCUCGUGGCAACACGGGAGUGGCGGACGGGUGAGUAACGCGUGGGAACGUGCCCUGAGGUUGGGAAUAACUGCGGGAAACUGCAGCUAAUACCUGAUGAGCCCCGAGAGGGGGAAGAUUUAUCGCCUUGGGAGCGGCCCGCGUCGGAUUAGCUAGUUGGUGGGGUAACGGCCUACCAAGGCUUCGAUCCGUAGCUGGUCUGAGAGGACGAUCAGCCACACUGGGACUGAGACACGGCCCAGACUCCUACGGGAGGCAGCAGUGGGGAAUCUUGCGCAAUGGGGGCAACCCUGACGCAGCCAUGCCGCGUGAAUGAUGAAGGCCUUAGGGUUGUAAAGUUCUUUUGCCCGUGACGAUGAUGACGGUAACGGGAGAAUAAGCUCCGGCUAACUUCGUGCCAGCAGCCGCGGUAAGCAUACUCGUA
This 463-nucleotide ribosomal RNA is filed under the name uncultured bacterium. RNAcentral describes it as "bacterial SSU rRNA". It matches the Rfam family "Bacterial small subunit ribosomal RNA", at positions 28 to 529 of the family's 1533-position model. The record is from RNAcentral.